CUGCAGGUUAGGUUACAGUGUGGCUUGUGCAGUGUCGCACUGUCGUUCCCCCUGCAAACAAUAACCUGUUUCAUUCUAUCCCUGUCUGUCUGAAUCCCCCAGCAGGCAGGGACGCUUGGUCACAAACAU
Small nucleolar RNA from Myripristis murdjan (pinecone soldierfish), 129 nucleotides. Its record names the gene SNORA63. It matches the Rfam family "Small nucleolar RNA SNORA63". From Rfam's summary of the family: E3 belongs to the H/ACA class of snoRNAs and is involved in the processing of eukaryotic pre-rRNA and has regions of complementarity to 18S rRNA. The record is from Ensembl. NCBI's taxonomy places the organism in Eukaryota, Metazoa, Chordata, Actinopteri, Holocentriformes, Holocentridae.